This 225-nucleotide unclassified non-coding RNA is filed under the name plant metagenome. RNAcentral's name for it is "partial contains small subunit ribosomal RNA and internal transcribed spacer 1". The stretch from base 1 to 46 matches the Rfam family "Eukaryotic small subunit ribosomal RNA", at positions 1786 to 1831 of the family's 1831-position model. The record is from RNAcentral.
AAGUCGUAACAAGGUUUCCGUAGGUGAACCUGCGGAAGGAUCAUUAACGAGUUAGGGUCUUCUAGGCUCGACCUCCAACCCUUUGUAUAGCUACCAUGUUGCUUUGGCGGGCCCGUCCUUCACCGGACCGCCGGGGGUCUUUUGACCUCUGGCCAGUGCUCGUCAGUAGCCCACAUCAAACUCUUUUAACCAUGUUAAAUCUGAUAAUAGUUAAAUAAACUAAAA